RNAcentral lists this ribosomal RNA (3027 nucleotides) under Salmonella enterica subsp. enterica serovar Gaminara str. SA20063285. RNAcentral describes it as "bacterial LSU rRNA". It matches the Rfam family "Bacterial large subunit ribosomal RNA". Lineage: Bacteria; Pseudomonadati; Pseudomonadota; Gammaproteobacteria; Enterobacterales; Enterobacteriaceae. The record is from RNAcentral.
GGGUUGUGAGGUUAAGCGACUAAGCGUACACGGUGGAUGCCCUGGCAGUCAGAGGCGAUGAAGGACGUGCUAAUCUGCGAUAAGCGCCGGUAAGGUGAUAUGAACCGUUAUAACCGGCGAUUUCCGAAUGGGGAAACCCAGUGUGACUCGUCACACUAUCAUUAACUGAAUCCAUAGGUUAAUGAGGCGAACCGGGGGAACUGAAACAUCUAAGUACCCCGAGGAAAAGAAAUCAACCGAGAUUCCCCCAGUAGCGGCGAGCGAACGGGGAUGAGCCCAGAGCCUGAAUCAGCAUGUGUGUUAGUGGAAGCGUCUGGAAAGGCGCGCGAUACAGGGUGACAGCCCCGUACACAAAAGCGCAUAUGCUGUGAGCUCGAUGAGUAGGGCGGGACACGUGGUAUCCUGUCUGAAUAUGGGGGGACCAUCCUCCAAGGCUAAAUACUCCUGACUGACCGAUAGUGAACCAGUACCGUGAGGGAAAGGCGAAAAGAACCCCGGCGAGGGGAGUGAAAAAGAACCUGAAACCGUGUACGUACAAGCAGUGGGAGCCCCACCACUAAGCCAGUGGUGAACUCCACAUACGCAUCCUUUGCUGAGGAUGCGGUUAACGGAGCGAAAGCGACGUUCAACCGCAAAAGAAGCAGAGGGGGCUUAGUGGUGGGGUGACUGCGUACCUUUUGUAUAAUGGGUCAGCGACUUAUAUUCUGUAGCAAGGUUAACCGAAUAGGGGAGCCGGAGGGAAACCGAGUCUUAAUUGGGCGUUAAGUUGCAGGGUAUAGACCCGAAACCCGGUGAUCUAGCCAUGGGCAGGUUGAAGGUUGGGUAACACUAACUGGAGGACCGAACCGACUAAUGUUGAAAAAUUAGCGGAUGACCUGUGGCUGGGGGUGAAAGGCCAAUCAAACCGGGAGAUAGCUGGUUCUCCCCGAAAGCUAUUUAGGUAGCGCCUCGUGAAUUCAUCUCCGGGGGUAGAGCACUGUUUCGGCUAGGGGGCCAUCCCGGCUUACCAACCCGAUGCAAACUGCGAAUACCGGAGAAUGUUAUCACGGGAGACACACGGCGGGUGCUAACGUCCGUCGUGAAGAGGGAAACAACCCAGACCGCCAGCUAAGGUCCCAAAGUCAUGGUUAAGUGGGAAACGAUGUGGGAAGGCCCAGACAGCCAGGAUGUUGGCUUAGAAGCAGCCAUCAUUUAAAGAAAGCGUAAUAGCUCACUGGUCGAGUCGGCCUGCGCGGAAGAUGUAACGGGGCUAAACCAUGCACCGAAGCUGCGGCAGCGACACUAUGUGUUGUUGGGUAGGGGAGCGUUCUGUAAGCCUGUGAAGGUGUGUCGUGAGGCAUGCUGGAGGUAUCAGAAGUGCGAAUGCUGACAUAAGUAACGAUAAAGCGGGUGAAAAGCCCGCUCGCCGGAAGACCAAGGGUUCCUGUCCAACGUUAAUCGGGGCAGGGUGAGUCGACCCCUAAGGCGAGGCCGAAAGGCGUAGUCGAUGGGAAACGGGUUAAUAUUCCCGUACUUGGUGUUACUGCGAAGGGGGGACGGAGAAGGCUAUGUUGGCCGGGCGACGGUUGUCCCGGUUUAAGCGUGUAGGUGUGUGUUCCAGGUAAAUCCGGUUCACUUUAACACUGAGGCGUGACGACGAGGCACUACGGUGCUGAAGCAACAAAUGCCCUGCUUCCAGGAAAAGCCUCUAAGCAUCAGGUAACAUCAAAUCGUACCCCAAACCGACACAGGUGGUCAGGUAGAGAAUACCAAGGCGCUUGAGAGAACUCGGGUGAAGGAACUAGGCAAAAUGGUGCCGUAACUUCGGGAGAAGGCACGCUGACACGUAGGUGAAGUGAUUUACUCAUGGAGCUGAAGUCAGUCGAAGAUACCAGCUGGCUGCAACUGUUUAUUAAAAACACAGCACUGUGCAAACACGAAAGUGGACGUAUACGGUGUGACGCCUGCCCGGUGCCGGAAGGUUAAUUGAUGGGGUCAGCGCAAGCGAAGCUCCUGAUCGAAGCCCCGGUAAACGGCGGCCGUAACUAUAACGGUCCUAAGGUAGCGAAAUUCCUUGUCGGGUAAGUUCCGACCUGCACGAAUGGCGUAAUGAUGGCCAGGCUGUCUCCACCCGAGACUCAGUGAAAUUGAACUCGCUGUGAAGAUGCAGUGUACCCGCGGCAAGACGGAAAGACCCCGUGAACCUUUACUAUAGCUUGACACUGAACAUUGAGCCUUGAUGUGUAGGAUAGGUGGGAGGCUUUGAAGUGUGGACGCCAGUCUGCAUGGAGCCGGCCUUGAAAUACCACCCUUUAAUGUUUGAUGUUCUAACGUGGACCCGUGAUCCGGGUUGCGGACAGUGUCUGGUGGGUAGUUUGACUGGGGCGGUCUCCUCCUAAAGAGUAACGGAGGAGCACGAAGGUUGGCUAAUCCUGGUCGGACAUCAGGAGGUUAGUGCAAUGGCAUAAGCCAGCUUGACUGCGAGCGUGACGGCGCGAGCAGGUGCGAAAGCAGGUCAUAGUGAUCCGGUGGUUCUGAAUGGAAGGGCCAUCGCUCAACGGAUAAAAGGUACUCCGGGGAUAACAGGCUGAUACCGCCCAAGAGUUCAUAUCGACGGCGGUGUUUGGCACCUCGAUGUCGGCUCAUCACAUCCUGGGGCUGAAGUAGGUCCCAAGGGUAUGGCUGUUCGCCAUUUAAAGUGGUACGCGAGCUGGGUUUAGAACGUCGUGAGACAGUUCGGUCCCUAUCUGCCGUGGGCGCUGGAGAACUGAGGGGGGCUGCUCCUAGUACGAGAGGACCGGAGUGGACGCAUCACUGGUGUUCGGGUUGUCAUGCCAAUGGCACUGCCCGGUAGCUAAAUGCGGAAGAGAUAAGUGCUGAAAGCAUCUAAGCACGAAACUUGCCCCGAGAUGAGUUCUCCCUGAGACUUUAAGUCUCCUGAAGGAACGUUGAAGACGACGACGUUGAUAGGCCGGGUGUGUAAGCGCAGCGAUGCGUUGAGCUAACCGGUACUAAUGAACCGUGAGGCUUAACCUUACAACGCCGAAG